Rosa rugosa (rugosa rose) is the source of this 4408-nucleotide RNA transcript. It is a transcript of the gene named cysteine-rich receptor-like protein kinase 21, with no coding region annotated. The transcript is spliced from 11 exons. NCBI's taxonomy places the organism in Eukaryota, Viridiplantae, Streptophyta, Magnoliopsida, Rosales, Rosaceae. The record is from RefSeq and is a predicted model, not a curated record.
AGUUGGUGUUAGCCCAAACUGUGCAGCAAAGCCCAAACCGAGCAUCAACCCAAAAACAAAAGCGCAGAUCCAAUAGAGAGAAACUGAGAAGGCGCGAAACAGAAAACGACACCACCCUAUAUAUAAAUCCCAACACAGGAGAAAUUAACGAAUAGUCGGUCAAUGCAAGUUGACUAUCAGCUACCCAAAGCCAUAUAUCUACAAUGGAAACUGAUCAGAUGUCUUCUCUCUGAUCUCAUUCCUAUUAGAACUGGAUGAUUACAUCUUACAACUCUUAUUUUCGAUUAUAUAGCUAGGCAACUCUUUAUGUUUUUUCUAUACCAAAGAGACCACUGAUCCUUGCAUGCCAGCUCUGACAGUUGACCAGAUUGAAAGGUAACAAGUUUUUUCUGAUUUUGGCCUUGGGUGGUCUGAAUUGAGGUAAUCAUGGCUCUGGAUUUGGUCGGAGGAUCACUGUUUACACUGCUCUAUGACGGCGUUAAGCAAGCAAUGGUGAAGACUACUCAGUUCAAAUCCCUCCUUGCAGAUCUCAAAUCCACGCUAGACUCUUUGCAGCCAAGAAUCAUUGAGCAGAUUGGAGAGCACAACACAGAAUUGGGCCUCCCAAACGAGGAAAUAGAAGAUCUCAAAAGACAAAUGGAGGAGGGAGUGAAGCUCGUUGGGAAGUUUUCCGAGUUGCGUGUGUGGAACUACUGCUGCGUAGGGGAUUACACUGAUCAACUUAUUGAAUUGGAUAGGGCUCUUAGAAGACUGCUGGAAAUGUUAAGGCUGCAGGAAGCGAGGGAUGUGAAGGAGACUUUGCUUUUGUCGAGGCAAAACCGUGACAAACUUGAUGAAGUGAAUAGGAGGCUGAUAGAGAUACAGAAGUUGUUAGUGCAGCAGCAGCAGCAGCAAGCAGGGGGUGUGACGGAGGCCACGGAUUCAGGAAAUAAUACGGAGGUGGUUCCCGAGCCAAUUCAAGGGAAUGGCAUACAAGUGGCUGAGUUGGAUGGAGGAGAUGCUCUAGAAGCAGUAUUUGGGAUGCUUUUUGAUGCUAUUUUAGAAGUGGAGGACAAGGCUGUGAUGUUUAAAACCCCCCUUGGUGAUCUCAAAUCCACCCUAGAUUCCUUAAAACCACUGAUUGAAGAGAUAGCACAACGUAACAAGGUAUUGGUUCGCCCAAAGGAGGAGCUAGAAAAAUUUAAGAAACAAAUGGAGAAGGGUGUGGUGUUGAUUCCCAAGUGUUCCAAGGUUCAUCCCUGGGCCAGCUGCAAAAAGUCCACGUACACUGAAACACUUAUUGAAUUGGAUAAAUUUCUUCAAAGACAGUUGUAUAUUCUCAAAAUGCAGGUAGCAAGGGAUGUGAGGAACACCUUAGUUUCGAUAAGGAAUAUAGAGGUGGCAAUUGAGCAAAUUGAAAAGAGUGGUGUGCUACAAAAUCAAGUUCAAACUGAAAGUUGUUCAACGGUAUCUGGACCUUCGCCGCCUACAGUUGGAUUGGAUGUAGUGAAUGUGCAGGGAACAAGGGAUGUGGAGGAGACAAUGAGUUCAAUAAAGAAUACAGAAGCAGGGGUCAAACCAAUUGAAGAGAGUGGUGUAGUACAAAUUCAACUUGAAACUAAAGGAACCAAAAAUGCUCCCAAGGAUUACACACUACUCUCUCGGGUAUCCCAUGCUUUCAGCGGGAACAUAGAUUCGGACACUAGCAGUGGCGGAGGAACAAGUCUAUUCUCGGAGGGAAAAACAUCAACAUUCAGAAGCAAAGAUGAUGAUCAGUCAAUUGAUUGCCAUAUCUUGGAGACAUCCAACCUAAGAGUUUUCAGUUUUGCAGAGUUGAAGACUGCUACAAGGAAUUUCACGGCAGACAAAAUACUUAGUGAGGGAGGCUUUGGGAAGGUUUUCAAGGGCUGGCUGGAUGAGACGACGCUUUCACCUUCUAAACCUGGCACUGGAAUGGUGGUUGCUGUCAAGAAACUGAACCCAGAAAGUUUUCAAGGCUUUGAAGGGUGGCAGCUGGCAGAGGUGAACUUUGUAGGAAGGCUUUCUCAUCCCAACCUUGUGAAGCUGUUGGGAUACUGUUGGGAAGAUAAGGAGUCACUCCUUGUUUAUGAGUUCAUGAGCAGAGGAAGCUUGGAGAACCAUCUUUUCAGACGUCAUCCAAACCUUGAACCACUAUCUUGGGAAAAAAGAAUCAAAAUAGCUAUCGGAGCAGCUCGAGGCCUGGCCUUCUUGCACAGCUCAGAAAAACAAAUUAUAUACAGAGAUUUUAAGACCUCAAAUAUAUUGCUUGAUGGGAAUUACAAUGCAAAACUCUCGGAUUUUGGCUUGGCGAAAUUGGGACCAACUGGUGGAGACUCACAUGUGUCAACUAGGGUUAUGGGGACAUAUGGUUAUGCUGCUCCAGAAUACAUUGCAACAGGUCAUUUGUAUGUGAAGAGCGAUGUGUAUGGCUUUGGUGUUGUACUGCUUGAACUUCUCACAGGGUUACGAGCACUCGAUCCUAAACGCCCCCAGGGACAAGUGAAUCUGGUAGACUGGGCUAAACCACUUCUUUCAAAUAAAAGAAAGUUGAAAACCAUCAUCGAUGCGCAGAUGGAAGGCCAAUAUUCCUUGAAAGCGGCAUCAAGGGCAGGACUGAUUACUCUAAAAUGUCUAGCACCAGAUCCUAAAAUCCGACCUUCCAUGAAAGAAGUUGUGGAGGAACUGGAACAGAUUCAGGCAAUCAAGGAAUAACUUAAGUCGAUCUACAGAUUCAAGCAACUCUAAAAUGUCUUUAGCUUAAGUUCAAUAUGGUUCCCCACCUGUUUGAUGAAAUGCCCAAGACAAAGAUGGUUAGGCAGUUUCACUGAAUAAUAGUCUCUUAUUGUGAAUCAGCAAAUUGAUGGCUUUGAUGGCUUUCAAGGACAAAGCAGCCCCUGAAUAAGAGUCUCUUAAUGUGAAUCAGCAAACCUUAUAUACGAUUCGCCAGUGCUAGACAGACAAUGAACCCUUUUUUCUCUAUCUUGAAUUUUUGCCCCCCACAUGUUUGAUGAAAUGCCCAAGAGAAGAUGGGAGACAAUCUGUCGAUAAACACUACAUCUUUCCUCUGCUCUUCAUGAGUAAUAUACUAAUAUAUACCAAGAAAAAUUUGUCAAACUGUAUUUUAGUCAAGGUUGAAGAGCUUUAAUGUUGACCCAUAUCAUUAUAAAACCAAUACUGCAUCCCUGUUAUGCUAUUAUACGCGUUUACUUUGAAGGUGGGUUAGUAUUUUCCCUGCUAUGAAAGUUCCAAGAAAUGUCAAUGCAUUGACCUCAAACUUUUGCCUCGUCUCUUUUUUAAUUUGGUUGGUGUUGGGGUGUAGCUAGCCCCAAAAUAUGAGAGCAGGGGCACUUGAAUAUGCUGGGUUUGUGAGGAAAGUGAGGACUCUUUCGAUCUUGAUCUUUACUCUUUCUUCAUCCAAAGCAAAAGCCCCAUCAACCUCUUGGAGAAAUCAAGCUCUGUGCCCUGCCUCCAACAAAUAUAUUACUUCUCUCCUUGCUCUUCAUCAAAGCUUACACUGAAACGAAUACAGUUUUCGACUUUGUUGUGAUAUUUAAGAAUCAGUAAUGGUUAUAGUAGGGGAGUUUGUAGGGGGUGCAGCUCUUGGUGCAGCAUUUGGGCUGUUGUUUGAUGUUGUGAAGAAAGCAGUUGACAAGCCUAGUACCUUUAGAUCCCUCUUUGAGAACAUUAAAUUUUCGCUAAAGUUUUUAAAACCAAUGAUCGAAAAGAUAGGAGAACAUAACGUGGAAUUGGGUCUCCCAGAUGAAGAAAUAAAGUAUAUUAUAAGAGAAAUGGAGGAGGGUGUAAAGCUUGUCCAGAAGUCAUCAAAGAUCAGUAAGUGGAACUGCAUGAAGUUUUAUUACACCGAUCAACUUAUUGAACUAGAUGGGUCUCUUAAAAGACUGUUAGAUGUAUUGAUAGUGCAAGGAUUAAGAGAUGGGAAGGAGACUUUGAUUUUGGCAAGAAAACACCAAGACCAACUUAUUGAAUCGGCAAGAGAUGCAAAGGAGACCUUGGUUUUGGCACAAAAGAACAAUGACCAGCUUAUUGAAUCAGCAAAGGAUGGGAAAGAGACCUUAGUUCUGGCAAGACAAAAUGCGGACCAACUUAUUGAUUCGUCAAGAGAUGGGAAGGAGACCUUGGAUUUGGCAAGACAAAACAAUGCCCAGCUUAUUGAAUCAGCAAGGGAUGGAAAGGAGACCUUGGUUUUGGCCAAGAACAUUAAAAGGUUUCUCAAAUGAAUUGAAUGUUUGGUGCGUUGUACUUAUAAAGGAAAUUCCAGAUAUCACAGUGGGAGCAGAGUUUCAAAAGCAAGCAGAAGCUCAGGAAGAGGUCGAAUUUUGGAGACAUCCAACUUAAGAGUUUACCGUUUUGCCGAGUUGAAGGAUGCUACUCAGAAUUUCAGGCAAGG